Molecule: ribosomal RNA, 433 nt
Filed under: uncultured bacterium
Lineage: Bacteria
Description: partial 16S ribosomal RNA
Rfam family: Bacterial small subunit ribosomal RNA
Source: RNAcentral
AACGAACGCUGGCGGCAUGCCUAACACAUGCAAGUCGAACGAGACCUUCGGGUCUAGUGGCGCACGGGUGCGUAACGCGUGGGAACCUGCCCUUAGGUUCGGAAUAACUCCCCGACAGGGGUGCUAAUACGGGAAAAUGUCUUCGGACCACAGAUUUAUCGCCUUUGGAUGGGCCCGCGUUGGAUUAGCUCGUUGGUGUGGUAAAAGCCUACCAAGGCGACGAUCCAUAGCUGGUCUGAGAGGCUGAUCAGCCACACUGGGACUAAGACACGGCCCAGACUCCUACGGGAGGCAGCAGUGGGGAAUAUUGGACAACCGGCGAGAGCCUGAUCCAGCAAUGCCGCGUGAGUGAUGAAGGCCUUAGGGUUGUAAAGCUCUUUUACCCGGGAUGAUAAUGACAGUACCCGGAGAAUAAGCUCCGGCUAACUCCGUG